RNAcentral lists this ribosomal RNA (490 nucleotides) under Diplodon demeraraensis. RNAcentral describes it as "partial 16S ribosomal RNA". It matches the Rfam family "Bacterial large subunit ribosomal RNA", at positions 1817 to 2597 of the family's 2925-position model. Lineage: Eukaryota; Metazoa; Mollusca; Bivalvia; Unionida; Hyriidae. The record is from RNAcentral.
CGUCUCAUGCCCAUUAACUAUAUGAGAUAAUGCCUGCCCGGUGAAUUAAGUAUUUAAACGGCCGCGUUAGCGUGAGCGUGCUAAGGUAGCGUAAUCAACUGCUUUUUAAUUGAAGGCCAGUGAAAGGCAACACAAAGAAUACCUUUAUUUAAUGUGUCAGAAAAACUUUACUUUCGAGUGAAAAGGCUCGAAUAACCGAAAAAGACAAGAAGACCCCGCGGAGCUAUUACUUAAACGCAACUAAACCUCCACUAAAGUUUCUGCUAAAAGUUUGGUUGGGGCAACCUUGGAACAAUCAGAGCUUCCAAUUUUUCACAAACAUCCAUUCAAAAUUUAUUAUGGACCAAAAAGGAGCUACCCCGGGGAUAACAGCGUAAUCCAACUUGAAAGGACUUAUCGAAAGUUGGGUUUGCGACCUCGAUGUUGGCUUAGGGUAAUCCACAUGGUGCAGCCGCUAUGCCAGGAUAGUCUGUUCGACUAUUAUAACCCU